AUUGAACGCUGGCGGCAGGCUUAACACAUGCAAGUCGAGCGGGGUGAUGGUGCUUGCACUAUCACUUAGCGGCGGACGGGUGAGUAAUGCUUAGGAAUCUGCCUAUUAGUGGGGGACAACAUCUCGAAAGGGAUGCUAAUACCGCAUACGUCCUACGGGAGAAAGCAGGGGAUCACUUGUGACCUUGCGCUAAUAGAUGAGCCUAAGUCGGAUUAGCUAGUCGGUGGGGUAAAGGCCUACCAAGGCGACGAGCUGUAGCGGGUCUGAGAGGACGAUCCGCCACACUGGGACUGGGACACGGCCCAGACUCCUACGGGAGGCAGCAGUGGGGAAUAUUGGACAAUGGGGGGAACCCUGAUCCAGCCAUGCCGCGUGUGUGAAGAAGGCCUUAUGGUUGUAAAGCACUUUAAGCGAGGAGGAGGCUCUUUUGGUUAAUACCCAAGAUGAGUGGACGUUACUCGCAGAAUAAGCACCGGCUAACUCUGUGCCAGCCGCCGCGGUAA
This 503-nucleotide ribosomal RNA is filed under the name uncultured bacterium. Its description in RNAcentral is "partial 16S ribosomal RNA". It matches the Rfam family "Bacterial small subunit ribosomal RNA", at positions 30 to 523 of the family's 1533-position model. The record is from RNAcentral.